Molecule: long non-coding RNA, 252 nt
Filed under: Rattus norvegicus (Norway rat)
Lineage: Eukaryota; Metazoa; Chordata; Mammalia; Rodentia; Muridae
Description: long non-coding RNA NONRATT008462
Source: RNAcentral
GGACUGGGGUUCAGACUUUCCGUAGGGAUCAUGAUCGCUUCUGGGUCCUGGCUGCCCAUCCCAACCUUAACCUCUUUGCAGCAGGCCAUGAUGGUGGGAUGAUUGUAUUUAAGCUGGAACGGGAGCGUCCAGCCUAUGCUGUUCAUGGCAAUAUGCUGCAUUAUGUGAAGGACCGAUUCCUCCGUCAGCUGGAUUUCAACAGCUCCAAAGAUGUAGCUGUGAUGCAGUUGCGGAGGUGAGUCUGACCUUCUC